UAAUACGUAGGGUGCAAGCGUUAAUCGGAAUGACUGGGCGUAAAGGGUGUGUAGGCGGUCUGCUAAGUCUGAUGUGAAAUCCCCGGGCUCAACCUGGGAACUGCGUUGGAAACUAGCAAACUAGAGUACGUAAGAGGGGGGUGGAAUUCCACGUGUAGCAGUGAAAUGCGUAGAGAUGUGGAGGAACACCGAUGGCGAAGGCAACCCCCUGGGACGAUACUGACGCUGAGGCACGAAAGCGUGGGGAGCAAACAGGAUUAGAUACCCUGGUAGUCCACGCCCUAAACGAUGUCGACUAGUUGUCGGGAUUAUUAUGAUCUCGGUAACGAAGCUAACGCAUGAAGUCGACCGCCUGGGGAGUACGGUCGCAAGAUUA
RNAcentral lists this ribosomal RNA (376 nucleotides) under uncultured bacterium. RNAcentral describes it as "bacterial SSU rRNA". It matches the Rfam family "Bacterial small subunit ribosomal RNA", at positions 521 to 896 of the family's 1533-position model. The record is from RNAcentral.